RNAcentral lists this transfer RNA (86 nucleotides) under Felis catus (domestic cat). It matches the Rfam family "tRNA". Rfam says of the family: Transfer RNA (tRNA) molecules are approximately 80 nucleotides in length. Their secondary structure includes four short double-helical elements and three loops (D, anti-codon, and T loops). Lineage: Eukaryota; Metazoa; Chordata; Mammalia; Carnivora; Felidae. The record is from Rfam by way of RNAcentral.
GCCUGGGUAGCUUAGUCAGUUAAGCGUCUGACUUCGGCUCAGGUCAUUGUCCCAACGGCUCGUGGGUUCGAGCCCCGCGUCGAGCU